GAAGCGAGGACUGAAGACUCGUGAAGCUGACCAGUACUAAUAGGCCGAUGACUUACACACA
Molecule: ribosomal RNA, 61 nt
Filed under: Salmonella enterica subsp. enterica serovar Typhimurium
Lineage: Bacteria; Pseudomonadati; Pseudomonadota; Gammaproteobacteria; Enterobacterales; Enterobacteriaceae
Description: partial 23S ribosomal RNA
Source: RNAcentral